AUUGAACGCUGGCGGAAUGCUUUACACAUGCAAGUCGAGCGGCAGCGCGGGGCAACCUGGCGGCGAGCGGCGAACGGGUGAGUAAUGCAUCGGAACGUACCCAGUCGUGGGGGAUAACUGUCCGAAAGGACAGCUAAUACCGCAUACGUCCUGAGGGAGAAAGCGGGGGAUCGCAAGACCUCGCGCGAUUGGAGCGGCCGAUGCCGGAUUAGCUAGUUGGUAGGGUAAAGGCCUACCAAGGCGACGAUCCGUAGCUGGUCUGAGAGGACGACCAGCCACACUGGAACUGAGACACGGUCCAGACUCCUACGGGAGGCAGCAGUGGGGAAUUUUGGACAAUGGGGGCGAACCCUGAUCCAGCCAUUCCGCGUGAGUGAAGAAGGCC
RNAcentral lists this ribosomal RNA (385 nucleotides) under uncultured bacterium. Its description in RNAcentral is "bacterial SSU rRNA". It matches the Rfam family "Bacterial small subunit ribosomal RNA", at positions 29 to 416 of the family's 1533-position model. The record is from RNAcentral.